This 962-nucleotide ribosomal RNA is filed under the name uncultured bacterium. Its description in RNAcentral is "bacterial SSU rRNA". It matches the Rfam family "Bacterial small subunit ribosomal RNA", at positions 56 to 1011 of the family's 1533-position model. The record is from RNAcentral.
UGCAAGUCGAACGGAAACAUGUCUAGCUUGCUAGAUGAUGUCGAGUGGCGGACGGGUGAGUAAUACUUAGGAACAUGCCUUUGGGUGGGGGAUAACUAUUGGAAACGAUAGCUAAUACCGCAUAACGUCUACGGACCAAAGGGGGGAGCUUGCUCCUCUCGCCCAAAGAGUGGCCUAAGCGAGAUUAGCUUGUUGGUGGGGUAAAGGCUCACCAAGGCGACGAUCUCUAGCUGUUCUGAGAGGAAGAUCAGCCACACUGGGACUGAGACACGGCCCAGACUCCUACGGGAGGCAGCAGUGGGGAAUAUUGCACAAUGGAGGAAACUCUGAUGCAGCCAUGCCGCGUGUGUGAAGAAGGCCUUCGGGUUGUAAAGCACUUUCAGUUGUGAGGAAAGCUUGUUGGUUAAUACCCAACAGGUAUGACGUUAGCAACAGAAGAAGGACCGGCUAACUCCGUGCCAGCAGCCGCGGUAAUACGGAGGGUCCGAGCGUUAAUCGGAAUUACUGGGCGUAAAGCGCACGCAGGCGGUUUGUUAAGCUAGAUGUGAAAGCCCCGGGCUCAACCUGGGAAUAGCAUUUAGAACUGGCAGACUAGAGUCUUGGAGAGGGGAGUGGAAUUUCUGGUGUAGCGGUGAAAUGCGUAGAUAUCAGAAGGAACAUCAGUGGCGAAGGCGACUCCCUGGCCAAAGACUGACGCUCAUGUGCGAAAGUGUGGGUAGCGAACAGGAUUAGAUACCCUGGUAGUCCACACCGUAAACGCUGUCUACUAGCUGUUUGUGGAUUUAAUCCGUGGGUAGCGAAGCUAACGCGAUAAGUANACCGCCUGGGGAGUACGGCCGCAAGGUUAAAACUCAAAUGAAUUGACGGGGGCCCGCACAAGCGGUGGAGCAUGUGGUUUAAUUCGAUGCAACGCGAAGAACCUUACCUACUCUUGACAUACUAGAAACUUUUCAGAGAUGAUU